Molecule: ribosomal RNA, 1675 nt
Filed under: human gut metagenome
Description: bacterial LSU rRNA
Rfam family: Bacterial large subunit ribosomal RNA
Source: RNAcentral
GUUCUCCCCGAAAUAGCUUUAGGGCUAGCGUUGGAAAGAACCUUAGUGAAGGUAGAGCACUGAAUGUGUGAUGGCCCCAUCCCGGGGUACUGAAUACAAUCAAACUGCGAAUGUCAUUAAGGAUGUCCGGCAGUCAGACUGUGAGUGAUAAGGUCCAUGGUCAAGAGGGAAACAGCCCAGACCGCCAGUUAAGGUCCCAAAAUACAGGCUAAGUGGAAAAGGAUGUGGGGAUGCCCAGACAACUAGGAGGUUGGCUCAGAAGCAGCCAUCCUUUAAAGAGUGCGUAACAGCUCACUAGUCGAGUGACCCUGCGCCGAAAAUGUACCGGGGCUAAGCCUGAUACCGAAACUGCGGAUUGUAGGAAACUAUAGUGGUAGGGGAGCGUUGUAUACGAGCAGAAGCCGUACCGUGAGGAGCGGUGGAUUGUAUAGAAGUGAGAAUGCCGGUGUGAGUAGCGAGAUGUAGGUGAGAAUCCUACACACCGAAAGCCCAAGGAUUCCAGGGGAAGGUUCGUCCGCCCUGGGUAAGUCGGGACCUAACGCGAGGCCGAAAGGCGUAGUGGAUGGAAAGCAGGCGAAAGAUUCCUGCACCCGUAUAUGGAGCGAAGGAGUGACGGAGACGGAUAGUGUGACCCUCUUAAUGGAUUGAGGGCGAAGCGAAGCGGCUGGUUACCAGGCAAAUCCGGUAACCUCAAGGCUAGGGCGUGACAGGCAAGCGAAAUCCAAGGAAAGUAGCGAAGCACAUGAUGACGGCUUCCAGGAAAAGCUUCUGGCAAUGCAUAUGCGGCCCGUACCAAAACCGACACAGGUGGGCAGGGAGAGAAUCCCGAGGUGAGCGAGAGAACUGUUGCCAAGGAACUCGGCAAAAUGACUCCGUAAGUUAGCGAGAAGGAGUGCUUAAGCAAUUAAGCCGCAGUGAAGAGGCCCAAGCGACUGUUUAACUAAAACACAGCUCUCUGCGAAGUCGCAAGACGAAGUAUAGGGGGUGACACCUGCCCGGUGCUGGAAGGUUAAGAGGAUCUGUUAAGAGCGAUCUGAAGCAGUGAUCCGAAGCCCCAGUGAACGGCGGCCGUAACUAUAACGGUCCUAAGGUAGCGAAAUUCCUUGUCAGGUAAGUUCUGACCCGCACGAAAGGUGUAACGAUUUGGGCGCUGUCUCGGCAGCAGACUCGGUGAAAUCUUAGUACCUGUGAAAAUGCAGGUUACCCGCAACUAGACGGAAAGACCCCAUGGAGCUUUACUGCAGCCUGAUAUUGAAUUCUGGUCAUACAUGUACAGGAUAGGUGGGAGACAAAGAGACGUGCACGCCAGUGUACGAGGAGUCGGCGUUGGGAUACCACUCUUGUGUGACCGGGGUUCUAACCUGGUAUCGAGAACAGGUACGGGGAGAGUGUCAGGUGGGCAGUUUGACUGGGGCGGUCGCCUCCCAAAGAGUAACGGAGGCGCCCAAAGGUUCCCUCAGCGCGGCCAGAAAUCGCGCGCAGAGUGCAAAGGCAGAAGGGAGCUUGACUGCGAGUCAGACAAGACGAGCAGGGACGAAAGUCGGGCUUAGUGAUCCGGUGGCAUCCAAGUGGAAGGGCCAUCGCUCAACGGAUAAAAGCUACCCUGGGGAUAACAGGCUGAUCUCUCCCAAGAGUUCAUAUCGACGGGGAGGUUUGGCACCUCGAUGUCGGCUCA